RNAcentral lists this ribosomal RNA (468 nucleotides) under uncultured bacterium. Its description in RNAcentral is "partial 16S ribosomal RNA". It matches the Rfam family "Bacterial small subunit ribosomal RNA", at positions 28 to 507 of the family's 1533-position model. The record is from RNAcentral.
GACGAACGCUGGCGGCGUGCUUAACACAUGCAAGUCGAACGGAAAGGCCCUGCUUUUGUGGGGUGCUCGAGUGGCGAACGGGUGAGUAACACGUGAGUAACCUGCCCUUGACUUCGGGAUAACUUCAGGAAACUGGGGCUAAUACCGGAUAGGAGCUCCUGCUGCAUGGUGGGGGUUGGAAAGUUUCGGCGGUUGGGGAUGGACUCGCGGCUUAUCAGCUUGUUGGUGGGGUAGUGGCAUACCAAGGCUUUGACGGGUAGCCGGCCUGAGAGGGUGACCGGCCACAUUGGGACUGAGAUACGGCCCAGACUCCUACGGGAGGCAGCAGUGGGGAAUAUUGCACAAUGGGCGGAAGCCUGAUGCAGCAACGCCGCGUGCGGGAUGACGGCCUUCGGGUUGUAAACCGCUUUCGCCUGUGACGAAGCGUGAGUGACGGUAAUGGGUAAAGAAGCACCGGCUAACUACGUG